GCAUAUCAAUAAGCGGAGGAAAAGAAACCAACAGGGAUUGCCCUAGUAACGGCGAGUGAAGCGGCAACAGCUCAAAUUUGAAAUCUGGCGCAAGCCCGAGUUGUAAUUUGUAGAGGAUGUUUCUGGCGACGCGCCUUCCGAGUUCCCUGGAACGGGACGCCAUAGAGGGUGAGAGCCCCGUACGGUUGGAUGCCUAGCCUCUGUGAAACUCCUUCGACGAGUCGAGUAGUUUGGGAAUGCUGCUCUAAAUGGGAGGUAUACGUCUUCUAAAGCUAAAUACCGGCCAGAGACCGAUAGCGCACAAGUAGAGUGAUCGAAAGAUGAAAAGCACUUUGAAAAGAGGGUUAAAAAGUACGUGAAAUUGUUGAAAGGGAAGCGUUCAUGACCAGACUUGGGCAGGUUGAUCAUCCGUGGUUCUCCGCGGUGCACUCUGCCUGCCCAGGCCAGCAUCAGUUCGCUCCGGGGGAUAAAGGCUCUGGGAAUGUGGCUCCUUCGGGAGUGUUAUAGCCCACUGCGUAAUACCCUGGGGUGGACUGAGGUUCGCGCUCUGCAAGGAUGCUGGCGUAAUGGUCAUCAACGACCCGUCUUGAAACACGGACCAAGGAGUCGUCUUCGUAUGCGAGUGUUCGGGUGUCAAACCCCUACGCGUAAUGAAAGUGAACGUAGGAGAGAGCUUCGGCGCAUCUCCGACCGAUCCUGAUGUUCUCGGAUGGAUUUGAGUAAGAGCAUACGGGGCCGGACCCGAAAGAAGGUGAACUAUGCCUGUAUAGGGUGAAGCCAGAGGAAACUCUGGUGGAGGCUCGCAGCGGUUCUGACGUGCAAAUCGAUCGUCAAAUAUGGGCAUGGGGGGCGAAAGACUAAUCGAACCUUCUAGUAGCUGGUUUUCCGCCGAAGU
This 895-nucleotide ribosomal RNA is filed under the name Clonostachys solani f. nigrovirens. RNAcentral describes it as "LSU rRNA". It matches the Rfam family "Eukaryotic large subunit ribosomal RNA", at positions 38 to 967 of the family's 3401-position model. Lineage: Eukaryota; Fungi; Ascomycota; Sordariomycetes; Hypocreales; Bionectriaceae. The record is from RNAcentral.